Non-coding RNA from Chrysemys picta bellii (western painted turtle), 949 nucleotides. The record is from RefSeq and is a predicted model, not a curated record. Lineage: Eukaryota; Metazoa; Chordata; Testudines; Emydidae.
UUCCUUGCCUAGGUAGUUCCUGCUUCCUUCUUUCCUUAUCUUUCUCCUGCUCCACCUCCCGGCCUCUCCUUUCUCUUCACCUCAUUCUGCACCCCCUGUGCAGCUGAUAGGAGGUGGGGCAGGGACUGCCCAUGAUCAGCAAAACCAUUUCUGGUGCAGCGAGAACAGAAGACCAGACAGCCCAGCAGCCAUGGCCUCAGCGACUCCUGUACAGAAAAUCCAAGAGGAAACCAAAUGCCCCAUCUGUCUGGAGUAUCUGACAGAUCCAGGACCACACACUGUGGGCACAACUUCUGCCGACGCUGCAUCACUCAGCACUGUGAGACAUGGGAAGAGCAGGACUCGGACCCUUGUGCUGAGCCCGAAUCCAGAAAGGGGCUCUCCUGCAUAACUCUCAGCUAGCAAAUAUAGUGGGGAAAAAAAUCAAACAACUGGAUUUCAAACCAGGAAAAGAGAAUCUGUAUGAGAGACACGGGAAAGCCCUGGAUCUGUUCUGUGCAGAGGCCAGGGAAGCCAUGUGUGUGGUUUGUGAGAGAUCCCCAGAGCACAGAUCUCACCCAAUGCUUCUCUUGGAGGAGGCUGCCCAGAGAUACAAGACACUCUGCCGUCUGCACUGGAGACAAGAAGAGGGGAACUCCUAGGAGCACACAGACAGGGUGUGAGAAGUUCCAGCAGCCAGAGGAGAUUUCACCUGAACUGGAAGAGCGAGUCAGCAGUUUCUCCAAGAAAACUAUUGCACUGUUGGAGACUUUGAGGAAGUUCAAAGAUAUUUAGAAGAAAUCUAGGAGGGGAAAUUGGGAUAAGCAUCAGACUGUGGGAAGAGAAUGGGUCUGGUCAAUUGGUUCAUGAUUAGAUUUUGCUUCUAUUUCAUUGUUGGGUGAGAAUGUCACACACUUGGAGUCCAAGACACUCAGAUGGAUUAAUUCAAACCUUUGUUCCAAAAGCAUGU